RNAcentral lists this microRNA precursor (63 nucleotides) under Pristionchus pacificus. RNAcentral's name for it is "mir-8364 microRNA precursor family". It matches the Rfam family "mir-8364 microRNA precursor family". The record is from Rfam by way of RNAcentral. Lineage: Eukaryota; Metazoa; Nematoda; Chromadorea; Rhabditida; Neodiplogasteridae.
UCUCCAUUUCGCACACUCUCUCGCCGAUCAGAGGCGCGAGAGAGAGUGUGUGAGAUGAAGAGA